AAUAACAAGAAGGUAAGCGUGGCUCUGACCAACCCACCCAACAACAGGAAGAAUGGCUGAAAAAGAAUCUACAUUAUCACACCUUCUGGUCCCUAUUCUUCUCUUGAUUGGCUGGAUUGUGGGAUGCAUCGUAAUGGUUUAUGUUGUCUUCUCAUAGAAAGGCAAGAAGACUUCAGAUUGACAUCAUUUAGAAGAAUUAAGAAAAUCAUGAAAAUGACAAGAUAAUUAAACGUUUCUCAUGUAAAUAACAGCAAUGUUUGACAUCAGUUUAUUAACUUGGAUUUGUAAACUGGUUCUUUAGUGGGCUUAAGAAUCACUUUAUUCUAAAGUGUUUAAGCAUGUUUAAAAUUCUGGGUACAAAUAAGAACUACAAGAAAAUAUAGAUGAAUUUCUCUAUAAGCUUGGGGUAGAAAAAAAUGCUCUCAACCAUGACUUAAAAUGGAUAAGCAAUAGGAAGUUUUGUAACUUAUAUUAGAAAAUUUUGGUCAUCCCUCAGAUAUAUAGAAUAUGUAGAAAAAUAUAUAGAAAAAUGAGUUAGAGAUACAAUGAGCUAGAGAUACGAAGAGAUAGUUCACAGAAAACAAAAAUUUAAGUAUAAACUUAACCUUUAACCUCUUUUAAUAAGAGAACUAUAAUUAACAGUGCAUUUAAGAACCAUUGCUCAGCUUUAAGAUAGGAAAAAAUGAAGAUAUUUGGCAAUAUAUGUACUGGGAAAGCUUGCAGAAGUAACUAUGCUCAAAUACUGUCUUUAGAAAUUCAUAACGGCACAUUAUUAGGGGUGUUUGGCAAAGUACCAAAAUUACAUAUGUAUUUAACAUUUGACUCAGCUAUCCCUCUUCUAAGAAUAUUGACAUUUCCACAAGUCUUUUGAUAAAAACACAAAAUGGUAUAUGUACAAGUCUAUUCAUUAUGGCAUAAUUUCUUAGAUCAAAACUCUGGAAAAAGCCAAAUGUCUAUUAAUAGAAGACUAACUGAAUAAACUGUGGUCUGUCUACAUACUGUGGCACUUAGGCCACUGUAAAAAGGAAUGAAGGGGAUCCCUUGAUACCGAUGUGAUGUCACCUUCAGGUAUGGAGCAAUGUAUUGUGUUGAAAAGGAGAGCCUAUACCAAUAUGCACACAUGCUUGCUUAUAUGAACAUAUUGGGACAGAGGAGCCACGAGUGGCAAGAUAAUCUUUGAGUGACCCUCAUUUUGGAACCAAGUAAAUAUUUUAUAAAUUAAAAAAAAAGAAAAAGUAAUCCUCCAAAUUUAAAGUAAAUUGAAACGAACCUAAUAGUAUAUCAUGUUAGUGAUGGACUUUUUAAAACACAGGUUGCUGGCCUCACUUGAAGAAUUUCUGAUUCAGAGAUCUGGGGUGGAGGCCUAAGACUUUCAUUUCUAACAAGUUUUCAGAUAAUGCUGAUGCUGCUGGCCCAGAAUGGGGAGUUUGAGAACCACUGCUGUAGAAGUGCUAAGGUCUGAAUGUCUGUGUCCCUGCAAAAGUCACAUGUUGAAAUCCUAAUCCCUACAGAUGAUGGUAUUGGUGGGGGGUUGGGAAGUGACUAGGUCUUGAGUGUGGAGCCCUAGUGAAUGAGAUUAGUGCCCUUAUAAAAGAGGCCCCAGAGAGCGCCCUAGCCCUUGUACCUUGUGAGGAUACAAUGAAAAGUCUGUGACAGAAGAGGGCCUCACUUGAACCUUGCCAUGCUGGCACUCUGAUCUUGAACUUCCAGCCUCUAGAACUGUGAGUAAAACAUGUUUGUUGUUUAUAAGCUACUCACCCAGCUAUUUGGUAAUAGCAACCCAAGUGGAUUAAGAAGGGAUCCAGUUUCUUCCUUAUAACUAUGGCAUACUUGCAUAUUCAAUUAAUUUUUCUACAUAAAUUAAUCUCAUCAAAAAAAUUGGAGAAAGCUUUGGUUUUGUUCCUUGACUCUUUUAAACUUCGUUAAACAUUUCAAAAAAGGUUCUUUUAAAAAUUCUACUUUUUUACAAAAUAUUAACAGCAAAUGUAUAUAAAAUUAGGCUCAACCAUUUUCUUUAACAUCUUGACCUAAUUUUAGUUUUCUCCAGACUUGAGAAGAAUGAGCUCACCUUGAACCAGAGAGCUGCUGGUUCAGCUCUUGCUAUCUUGUAAAAGCUGACUGCUAAAUUUUCAGGAAUUUUGUGAGUUGACAUCUCAUUGGUAGCUUGAAAUUAGCCAUGGUGGGAGUAUUUAUAUUAUAGAAAUCAACAAGUGCUAUAAAUCAGAGCUUCUUCCCACUAGACAGCCAGUUCUUAAACAUACCAGGAUACUCUAGACCUGAAUUUUCUUGUCUUCCGUGAUGCUCAUAUAGGCUUGUGAGGCCUUCAAGACCAUCUACCUUUUUUUUUUCCCUUCUUCACAUUUUCUCUUUGAAUUAAUUAAAACUACGGUCUUUCUAUCCACUUGACCUCUUUCUGUGCUGUAUAGACUUUAAUGAGAAACCCAUGAAAGCUGUAGACUUUCUUAGAAUACACAUAUGCAAAUAAAAUUGUAUAUGCUGUUUCAAGAUGCUGUAUCAGUGGAUUUCUUGGAAUCCAUCAAAAGACACCCUAGGUAGAGGAGUUCCUGGACUGUCACUAACUUUCCGAAGGCUUUAGGCACCUUCAUAACUUGGCUCUGGUUUUCACCUGGGUUAAGGACAUCUGCUCAUAUUUUAGCUUUCUUUCUGGGUAGAGAUUGGGUUUUUCUCUAUUUCUUUCUGCUGACACCAUUCCUGUACCACCUGCCAGCUUUUUUGCAUUCUUACACCACGGGUACUGGCAUUUGGUUUGUUACACAGGCAGAGUUGGAAAACAAGAUUUGUAGUAACCUAUGUUCUAUUUCAGAACACCUUACUUUUCUUUUGUCUGGAGUAUUUUUUUACUCAUGCACUGGUCCUUUUCUUUUGCUCUUUGAAGCUAUGGGAUAUCUCAUUUCUUGUUAAGAUGUGUGCCCAACUUUCCCUUGGAACACAAAAAGCUUCAGCGUUCCCAUAAAUCUUAACUUUCUACCUCUGACAAAGACUUUCUUAUUUCAAGGACUCAAUAUUCUUUUCUUUAGCACUUAAAACAGACCAUAAUGUUGUUUUUAAGCAGUGGUAGAAAUGAAUUUCUCUAUAAUAAGUAUUUUAAUUCCAUGUUUUCACAUCCAACCUGAUCAUUUUCUCAGAACAAAGAAAGCUUAGUGCAGUGAAAAGAACUCAAGUUUUGGAAGUCAGAUUGUUGUAUUCUAACUUGGGAGUCUUUUGAGUAGUUAAUUAAUCUCUUUAACCUUAGUUUUCUCAACUAUAAUAGAAGAAGAAUAAUAUUUUCAUGUGAUUGUUGUGAAGACUGCAGUGUUUUCUAAAACUGUCUGAACUGAAACAAUUGAGUCAUUUGUUAAAAAGACAGAUUGUUAAGCUCGUGCCUGCUCUGGAGAGUUCAUUUUCAGUAGGUCUAGACAAGGCCUAUUAAAAAAUCAAUUCCCCAGGUGAUUUUUAUAUCACAGAAGUUCGGAAACACACCUCUCGUGUGUGUGUGUGUGUGUGUGUGUGUGUGUAGACAUUACUCCCUGAUUGAUGACAGCUUGCUUAUAUUAGUAAAUUCCAACUACUUUCCUAUUUAUUGCUGUGACAAAAAAUUAACACUGUAUUAGCUUAUAUUUUAAUUAAAUGAAGUAAAAUGAUGAUAAUAUACAUAUUAUCCACUGUAUAAUGGAUAAUGAUACAUAUUGUUUUUCAUUAAUAUUUUCAUAUAUGUGAGUUUUAUUUUCUGUUAAAUUUAAGCCAUUUAUCGGUGAAUAUAUUCCUCAACUCUGACUUAUGUAAUUCAAAC
This 3790-nucleotide long non-coding RNA is filed under the name Sus scrofa (pig). RNAcentral describes it as "lncRNA (ENSSSCG00025063450.1)". The record is from RNAcentral. Lineage: Eukaryota; Metazoa; Chordata; Mammalia; Artiodactyla; Suidae.